Non-coding RNA from Pelobates cultripes (western spadefoot toad), 481 nucleotides. The record is from the annotation of a GenBank genome assembly. NCBI's taxonomy places the organism in Eukaryota, Metazoa, Chordata, Amphibia, Anura, Pelobatidae.
CAAAGAUGGCGGCUGCACAGGGUCGGCGGAGCGGGCAGAAUUGGCGGCUCUGAGUGACGCGGAAGGCAGGCGAUCGUUACACAGCUACCGAGGGAGCCCGAUAGCGCAGUGUGUGAGGAGCUCGGUGCCGGCCGGUGAGGGGCGAGGCGGCCCCCGGGGCGGAGGGCACGGUGACAGCCCGCGGUGUCCUUGAAGAAGGCGGCUAGAGGAGGAAGCGGAGACACGGAGGACGAGCCGGAGGGGAAGCGGAGGCCUCGCGGCUCACGGUCCAGGGCCAUGUUCUCGGUGCUGUCCUACGGCCGGAUAGUGGCCCGCGCGGUGCUGGGGGGGCUCUCACAGACCGACUCCCGGGACUACAGCCUGGUCACCGCCAGCUGCGGCUUCGGCAAGGAUGCGAGGAAGGGCAUCCUCAAGAAAGGCAUGUGCUACGGGGACGACGCCUGCUUCAUCGCCCGGCACCGCACGGCGGACGUACUCGGUG